RNAcentral lists this transfer RNA (73 nucleotides) under Blyttiomyces helicus. It matches the Rfam family "tRNA". Rfam says of the family: Transfer RNA (tRNA) molecules are approximately 80 nucleotides in length. Their secondary structure includes four short double-helical elements and three loops (D, anti-codon, and T loops). The record is from Rfam by way of RNAcentral. Lineage: Eukaryota; Fungi; Chytridiomycota; Chytridiomycetes.
UCCUCGUUAGUCCAGUGGUUUAGGAUUCCACGCUUUCACCGUGGCGACCCGGGUUCGAAUCCCGGACGGGGAG